GGGGCUGUAGCUCAGUUGGGAGAGCGCUACAUUCGCAUUGUAGAGGUCGAGGGUUCGACUCCCUUCAGCUCCACCA
This 76-nucleotide transfer RNA is filed under the name Bacteroidota bacterium. Its description in RNAcentral is "tRNA-Ala". It matches the Rfam family "tRNA". Rfam says of the family: Transfer RNA (tRNA) molecules are approximately 80 nucleotides in length. Their secondary structure includes four short double-helical elements and three loops (D, anti-codon, and T loops). Further hydrogen bonds mediate the characteristic L-shaped molecular structure. tRNAs have two regions of fundamental functional importance: the anti-codon, which is responsible for specific mRNA codon recognition, and the 3' end, to which the tRNAs corresponding amino acid is attached (by aminoacyl-tRNA synthetases). tRNAs cope with the degeneracy of the genetic code in two manners: having more than one tRNA (with a specific anti-codon) for a particular amino acid; and 'wobble' base-pairing, i.e. permitting non-standard base-pairing at the 3rd anti-codon position. Lineage: Bacteria; Pseudomonadati; Bacteroidota. RNAcentral also lists the same sequence under 1 other name. The record is from RNAcentral.